UAUAAUUUCCCUAAAAACAUUUCUACACAAAUUUCCAAAUCCGAGUACUCCCCGAGUACUCGCUACUCGGUAAUCAGCCGAACAGGUACCGAGUAACGAGUUCUACAACCUUGACUGCAACAAACAUUUUCUAUGUCUAAGCACUUAGACAAUCUACAGUCAGAUUCAUGGCAGUCUUAAUUUACUACUUACUUACAAAGUAUAAUCAACUGUGGAUGUUUGAAUAACCCGGUUAUUCGGAAAGUAAAAUAUGCGAAGUGAAACACAAGAAUAACCUAAUUAACUAUGGUCUCAAAACUAUUGAAUAUAAAUAAAACACUUAUUAUUUAACCAUCAUAUUAAUCAGACUUUAUUCAUUGUAUAAUGUUUCGAGUAAUCAACUUAAUACUUUAAUUAAGAUAAUAGCCAUGCCAUGCUUCAAGCACGCACACUAUGUUUAUCUAUGAUCCUUCCUUUGUGAAACAGAUUAAUCGAACACAUUUUCAAUUAUGCUCAGUUCACAAUUCCAAAUCUUUAUCACAGGUGUAAGAAUACCAAAGUUUUUCCACUACUAGAAUCCGUUAGAGUCUAAACUUACAUGCAAUGAUUCUUUUGUAAUGUCAAGGCACCAAAGUCAUAGAGAUUUUGCCAAUGAUAUUACAAAGCAUUCCAUUGUAGAUGGGUUACAAAAACAAUUCUAGGGAAAUGAAGUCUCACAUUCAAAGAGCAUUCCUUGAACAUCCUUCUUGCAUUAAAGUUACUAAUCUUAUACCCAGAUCUCAAUAACCAACUCCUACUAUGGAAAUAUUUCCAUAUUCCCAUAUGACUAUCAAUUCUGAACAAGAGUUGCCUCCACUCAGAAGAUGUCAGUAUGGUCCUUCCAAAUUUAUACUAUACUCCCAACCUUCCACAAGCAAUCAAUCUUUGGUAAACCUCAGAUUGUCAUCGACAGUUAUUUAACAACUUUAGUCAUAUCUGGUUCUAGUCCCUUUCCCUCUUAAUGCGCUCGACAUUUGGAAAAAUCGGAACAAUUGAAUAUUAUAGCACAUGCAAUCAAUCCUAUACCUGAAGCAUAUGGGAUUCGAUUCAUAAUAUCUUACAUAAAGACAUGAUAUUUGAUCAGUCUCUUGCUAUAAUAUUUCCAUAUAUUGAAUUUCCUAUGUUGAAACAUUUCAACAUGAUAUUCAUAUACGUUCAUGACUAAGUUCCAAUAACACUUCAAUCUAAACUUUUAGAUUUGAAAUGAAGUAUUAGUGCCCUUUCCCUUAAGCUUUAUUAUAGCAAAACAAUUUCCAAACUCUGCAACCUUGCAAAUUGAAAACUUGUUUCCUAUAAAUAGCAUUGCUAUCUUGCAACACUUGUCAUUAUGAUUAUGCUCCCACUAGCAUAACAAUUAUGUUCUUAACAACAUAAAAAUUAUGCUCCCACUAGCUUUGACAUGCCCAGAAAUCGGCUGGACUUCUAGAAAACAAUGCUUAUUGUCUUUCUUACCAAGGUUCAGAUUUCUGAUACGUGGUGCUUCAAUAAGUCUUUAUCUAGACUUCUCAAUCUCAUACACCUUUCAUUAGAUAGCUUAUGUGUGCAUCUAAACCUCUUUCAGAACUUAUAGCAAUAAGUCUUGAAUGUUCAAACUAAUUGUCAUUUCUUACAAUUGGAAUGAUGAAAAGGGAUGUCGUAAUCAUACUCGAAUUUGAGAACGCAAUUAUCAUAACUGCUAACUCUAAUGAUAUUAAUCAAUCCUGUAAAAUCUACAAGUGAAAGUGUUUCCUCACAAAAAUUUUCAUGAAGUAGAGCGAAACCUCUUGUCACUUAGAUUUUAUGGUGUAUGUGUUCCUAUCCAUGUGAAUUUCUCAUUUCCAACCACCAUCAUAAGGCAAGGUUUAUGACAAAUUUAAACUCUUAUGGACUGAACUUGCUUAAUCUUAAUUUCUUGCCAUCCAGUAGCACAAGUGCCUACCAAUGCUUCCAAGUUAUUGAGCAGCUCACCCAUACAAAUCAAUGUACUUUCACUAAUCAAGGUGCUUUGCCUUAUGCAAUCAAAUGUAAAAAAUAGGACUCGUAAUCAUUGCAAACAAAACUGAAAUGGACACAGAAAUAAGAAUGUUUCAACAGGAUAGGUAAUCAACCCUAGUUCGUGUGCUAGCAUUAACAAACAGGUUUAUUCUUGAUUGUCUCUUGAACUUUUUGAAGAUUAACAAUACUCCCACUGACAUCUUGGCAUAUAAGAUUCUCUACCAAGGAACAUUCAUCGACAAACAAAUAUUCAAGAGUUAGUGUAGGUUCUUAUCAAGAAAAACACUUCAUAUAAUUGGUCUUAGUUGGUAUGUGUUUUAACCAAAACAUCACAACUACCAAUUACAAAUGUGCUAGAGCAAGAAAACAUUUAUACUCCACAUUUCAUAAGGUGUUAUAAACCUACUUAGAACAUGUUACUGAAGGUACAACUUGGAGUAAUUAGAGUAUGACUCUAAAACUUGAUUUUGGAACGAAGUGUGACUCAUCUUCUUGAUUUAACCAUUUCAAUAGUACAUGAUUCCUCUUCUUAGUCAUACAAAUGCACUAAGAUGUUCUUAGAGGAUCAAUUGUGACAUGGUUCCAUAAUCAUUAGGAUGAUCAUAAACACGAUACUAAAGUACUCUCCUUUCCUUUCAAAUUGGAGAAACUUUUAUCUUUCUGCUCAAUUGAUUCUUCUUAUUCGUUCUGCUAUACUUUGAGACUUUUCAAGGUAUCAAAAUUUCACUUAAUCAUAUAGGCAUAACCACAUUUACUAAACUAUCAAUAAAUCAUGACAAAUAAACUUAUUGUCCUUUGUGGUGGAUCUGACUAGUUCACAUCAAUGUGUACUAGAUCCUUUAGUCCUUCACUUGACUCACAUAUCCAUGUGAAUAAUGAAUUAGUCUCAAUUUAACAAGGAUCAAGAUUCUCAUACACCACACAAUUCAAAUCGCAUGACUCCAAGUUUCUGUCCAAUUAAAAAUUAGGUGAUGAGAAUCCCUCCUUAUUUGGUAAAUUAUGACACUACCACAAGGUAUAUAACUAAGAAUCAAAUCCAUUUUCAACAUUGCUAAUAAUAUAAAUAUAAACACCAAUUUUCAUACAUGCCAUUGCAAGUAACCAUAAAGCAAAUAAGAUAAAACCAAAAUUUUACUUUAUUGAUAAUGUGCGGAAAACUUGUCCUUACAACGCAAAUACAUAUGCAAACUAUGUUUCUCAAUAUUCCUAAGCAAUCUAUCAAAACUCCUAAGUAGCAGCUCAAAAAUCUGAUGAUCGAACUAUGCAACUGAAAUCCAUUUCUCACGAUCAAACUCAGCUUACUCUUCUUUUAAGCUUCCUUCUUUCUCUUCGAUCCUACUAAACAUUAAAAUGUGAUUAUCACAUCAUGUAAUAAGAAUCUAAAAAUAAGAACUUAAUAGAGCUAGAUAGUGGAUGUACCUGAAGUAGGGUCAUACAAUUUGAUUUCACUAUCUCUAAGAUCUCUCAAGUAGUCUGGGCAGCUUCGCUUCUAAUGUCCCUUUAAUCGGCAAUAGAAACAGAUGGAUUCUUUAGCAUCGGUACAUGGAACUAUCUCAGAACUGGCGUUUCUCUUAUGGUCAAAAUUUUUGACCUUGGCCGAUUUCUCUCCCUUGGGAAGGGAAACCAUUUAUGGACUAUCAUCGUUGUUAUUUCCAAUGUCUAUGGAAAUUUGGGAAACUGAUCCUCCAAACAAGUUUUCUUGACCAGUGCGCCAAAACAUUGCUGCUUCAACAACAAUUAGCAAAUAUGUCAGAUCGAUUAGGGUUAAAUCAUGAUCAGUCAUGUACUAGUCCUUUAGGAAUAGCCUAUAUCACUCAGGAAGCGAGUAAAGAACCAAGUCAACAACUAGCUUCCUUGCGAAAACAAUACCCAACAUUCCCAACAUGCCAAUUUGCGACUUCAUCUUCAGGAUGUAUGUACACACAGAACUUCCAUCUCGAUGUCUGCAUGCCAAUAGGGCUUGAGUGACUUUGAACUUUUCAAGUCGAUGAAAAUGUGGGUCAUGGAGAAUCACGGGAGGAGGUGGAGGAAUGGAAGUAUGAUUUCCAGUUCCACUAAUGCAUGAAGAAGGGAACAUUCUUUCACCUCGUUCGACACGUGGAAGAUCAUCUUCAAAAGGAAAACAUUUUCUAAAGGAAUGAGGAAGACCAUAUUUGUCAGAACUACACAACUACAAAAUGGAGAAAAUUCAAGUGAGUUGAUUUAGAUCCUUAAUAUAGCACCCAACUGAAAUAUUAAGGCUAGGACCCAACAAAAUAAUUCACACUUCAGAAGUGGGAUGAUGUAAUCCAAUUUUAAAUUACUUGAAGGUUGGUAAAUGACGAUUUACCAAUUCUGCCACGAAAAUAAAAUUUUAAACAAAUUAGGUUUUAGAUGAAAUUCCUAGAUCUUUUGAGAUUCAUUGAACUUUUCAAUGGCAUGUUUAAUCUCGAUUAUGCUCUCACUUUGUGAUUGGGAUACCGAGGAUCACAAACGAGAUGUGAAAACCAUGCAAAUUAGCUUGGUACUCUCGAUGUCAUUUACCAUCUAAUCAAUGUGCCGGUUAACCACAAACGCUCCAUUGAUCAAUGAUAAUUUACGAGACACUCAUUGCCAACAAUAUUGGUCCCAUAUUAGUGUGUUGGUUAACCACACACACUCCACUAACUGUUGGAUUAAUGUCUAAGUCCAUAACUAUAUUUGGUAUGUACUUGACCCGGUUGUAGCAUGGUCCUUUUGGGUUGCCUUCACCAAAGCAACUUGACUGGAUGAAUAAUAGAGAAAGAGGUUAUUAUGGUUUAUUAAUAUAUUAUAUGAAUAACAUAUUAAAAGAAAAUUCAUAUUUAUUUAAUUAACAUUGUUCAAGAAUUAAUUUAGAAUUAUUUUUGUGGUCAAAAGAGGUUAAUUGAAUUAAGGGGGCUGAACUUGUAAUUAUUGGAUAACUGCAUUGUAGGCUGGGGAAACCCUAAAGAUAGGGAGUGGACGAAAUCCUUAUGGAUAGCCCAUAAGAUUUCGUCCAAGGAGGGAUUCUGGCAUGUUCUUGUGGGCUGCUUAGAGCCUAAGAAACCGGAUGAGGACUUUGACUGAAACCCUAAUUCCUCACAUAUAUAGGGAACCCUUGGCUUCAUAUUUUCGGCUACACUAACCCUAGAGGAUUCCUUGGAGCCGAAAAUUACCUUCUCUCUCUCUCUCUUGCAUUCUCCAAUUGCUUUGGUGUUUGUGAUCUAUUAUAGGCACAACAUUUGAGAUGCUAAGGUUCUCAAAAGAUCAAGAUCUUCAAGCAACAAUCAAGGUAACAUUCUUAUUAGUUUAUUUAUGUUGAUUUUAAGGUUUUGUUAUAUGCUAGAUUAGGGUUUUCAAGUCUUCGACAAUUGUUGCAUGUACAAAUAGAAAAACUAGAUCCAAGCAUUAGGGUUUGCAUGAACACCAUAGGAAUGUUGUUUUGCUCAUAACCCAUCACUAACGACCAAUAAGGUGCAAUGUGCAAUUUAAUGGGUUAGCAUCAAAUUCACAUUUUUCUAAAGUAACUAGGAUUUGGAAUUUGAUAAAAGCGUUUAGUUACUUUGUAAUUCGUUAUACUUUUAUUGAGAUUUUAGUGUCUUAUCCUACCCGUUCGGCUAACGACCCUCCACUAGUCAAGAGUGCGGCAGGUAAGAAUGGACACCUAAUGACGGUCAUUUUACAGGCCGCUUCCUUAAACCCCCUUGUAGACCAGCUUCAUGAAUGAGACAUUCUAACGGUAAGACUGACUUCUCUUAUACAUAUCUAAUAUUAAACUUUUAAUGAUAUAACAGUAUAUGGGUGUAUUUUAAACUUUUAAAAUACUAAGGUUUAAUCUUUCAAUAAAUUAAACUUCUAAUUUAAUCAAAUUUAAACCACACAAGGAUUUAUUAACUGUAUUUUAAUUAAUCUUUUAACUUAAUUAUUAAUACAAUCCAUAAGGAUAUCUUCUAGUGUUUUCCAUUUAAAUUUCCAAAAUUAAUAUUUUAAUUUCAAAUUUAAAUUAUAAAACUAAAAGGGUGUAUUUUAAAACUUUUGAAAAAUAUUAGGUUAAAUUUUAAAUAGGAGAAUAAUCUUAUGAUUAUCCAAAUUUAACCAAAUCCUUUAAUUAUUAUAAGGAUAUCAUAUUACCAUUCAAAAAUUUCGAUUUUAGGUAGUAAAAACGAAAUAAGGCAAUAAUCCUAAUCAAGAUAAGAUCUAAAAAUCGAAAAAAGGGAACAGACGAGUCAACUCAUCGAGUUGGCCAAUGAACUCGUCGAGUUCUUACAUGAACUUGCCGAGUUCUUGGUUCAGACAACAAAAUCGAUUUUGUUUCUGCUUUCGACAAUUCGCUAUCGCAUCAAUUCAAUUGAAAAACAUCCUAAGCUCUGAUACCACUGAUGGGUUUUGAGCAUAUCUACAUUCCUAUGUGAUCAUUCAACCCUAAUUGCUUUGGAUCUAUGUUUUCCACCACUUGAACAUGCAAGUUGAAUACCAAAGCAAUAACCCUAAAACCAGCAUACAAUUUCGAAAAUUAUAUAAAAUUAGGGUUAGAAUAUUACCUUACUUGUUAUGUAGCAAUAACAAGACAAUCUUGAAGAUCCUUGACACUUGAAAGCUUAGUGCUCCAAAUGUUGCACUUCUAAUGGUUCAUAAAUACCCAAUGCAACAAGAUGAGAGGAUAGAGGAGGGAAUACCUUAAGAAUUUCGGCUAGGGUUUCUAUCAAGAAACAUUGGCUGGAAAUCAUAGGUAUAUGGGUCCUUAUAUAACUGUGGGCUGCUAGGGUUUCCAGAGGAAACCCUAAUUUCCUACUUAAGGCUUAAGCAACCCAUGAACCUCUUACCAGUAGGCCUUGGACAGAAUCUAUAGGGCCUCCCUAUAUGAUUUCGUCCACUCCUAAUUAAGGACUCCGUCAGCCCAGUUUUACAACUAUCAAUGAUUUGCAAAACAGUCCAGCCAUUAUAAAUCAGUUCCUUUAAUCCCAAAAUUAGUAUCAAAUUAAUUUCUGAUUAAAUCCUAAUUAAUAAUAUGAUUUCCAAAUAAUAUAUUAAUCUAAUAAUAUAUCAAUAAAAUCAUUUUGAGUGCCAAUUUAUUAUUUCAAAUAAUAAAUUCUACUCUCUUUCUCUCUCUCUCUCUCUCUCUCUCUCUCUCUCUCUCUCUCUCUCUCUGUCUCUCCACUAGUCAUCAUGUCAAGUUGCAUGAGUGAAGGCAACCCAAAGGACCAUGCUACUAUAAAGUACAUACAAAUUAUAGUUAUGGGCUUAGACACCUAAUCCAACAAAUUUCAAUUUAACGUGAUUUCAAAUUCUAAACAACUUGAAUGAUGAUUGAAGUAAAUUUUUUCGUUUUUUGAAACAUAAAUUCAUGAUUACCAAUAAAAGAUAAGUUUUUGUCUGAAUGUAAUCUGAUUCCGUAUGAUUUGUAUCGAAUAUUGAAGAUUUUAGUAGAAAGAAUCUUGAUUUCGUUGUUGUUCUUCGAAGUAAAUUGAUGAUCGGAGCUUAAUGGCGAGCUGGAAGAUAAUGACGUCGUCGUUGUCGGAAGUUAUAAGGUCCAGCGCUAUGUUAGUCGAACAUUAGUAGCCCAUUUUUUUGGACCUAAAUACCCUUAAUGAGCUUGAUUGGCCACGGUUAAUCCUCGCAGUCCUCACCAGACACGGACCUAAACCCACAAAGAAAAUAUAAUAAAUUUUCAAAUAUAAUAAAAAAAACAAUGCAUUUUUAGAGAAUAACAACUAUAAAUUCAAUGCAUAACACAUGUGUUGCUAUUAAUUCUCACAAAAUGAAUAGCACAUGGUUAGAUUCUUUAGAUUCUCUUUCAGAGAUUUCAAUAAACACUUGUUAGACAUUAUCAUCAAACAAGCCAAAAUUUAUGUAAAACAAUUAUCAAUAGUUGAAUAAAGCUUUUUUUAAUAUCAAGAAGCACUACCAAACUUUGUGACAUACAAACAUGUUUUGAAAUAAGUUUUUUUUUUAAAAAAAAAUAUUUUAACCUUAAUGCGUAUUAAUAUAAAGAGUAUGGUAGGGUUACUUGUGAUAAAUUCAAGUAUUCGCUCCUAAUAAUAAGAAUCAAUCCCCUAAUCUAAUAAAUAAGAGUAUUUUUGCCACGUGGCAAUAGCUAAGCACUCUCCCAUCUAACUUUCCCGCUCAAACCAUCUAUGUGAAAUUCCUGCUAUGCCUUGUGUAGUCAAUCCCGCUCAAAUGUCUUCAAUUCCUUUACAAUCCCGAAUUACCAGCACAAAAAAUUGAAUUUAAUGGCAAAAAAUCAGGAAUAAGAUCAUAUCCAAAUUUAACUUAAAUUGCCUACACAACGAUUUUCGCUUAUAUUAUUUACUCUUAUAUGAUCUUCACUUCCAGUCGAUCACCAAUUCUUGAAGGUUAAUCGAUUUAUCCNNNNNNNNNNNNNNNNNNNNNNNNAAUGAAGCUCUUCCCAUUGAUUUAAGGUUCAAUAUCAAACUCUAUCUUCUUCCCCUGUUAUAAGAUGAAUUCAAAUAAAUUAUUUGAACAAGACAUGUGCUGUAAAGUCUGAAAUUAUGCAUGUUUGUUGUUGUUUGUGUGUGUCUGUGUAUGCGUCCAGUUGAUUAUUUCAUAGUGACAUACUUUUUUAUAAUGGUUAAUUAAAAAAAUAAAUUUAAAUGUGAUGUUCUAAUAGAAUGACAUAUCAUUUGAAUGGGGUCGACCAUGCUUUGUUCUACUUUAGGGGGAGGUAGUGAGGGGAUGGAGUAGAUAAUGUUGAAGGGGUUUGUGUAGAUAACAGUGGGUGGAGGGAGGGUGCUUUGAUUGUAGAUUGGUAUGUCUAAAAGUAAAUGAUACGGGGCUAUGAUUGGUGAGGUCGAACUUCAUUCUCUUCAUCUCUUAGUUGUAAUUGUUUGAAAUACACUUUGAUGAGGCAAUCACUCUUUUUUUUUUUUUUUUUUUUUUUUUUUUUUUUUUUUUUUAAGGAACAUUGGUUAUUUGAAUGACUAUUGUAAUAACCAAUGUUGGCCCAAAUUCAUUAAUAUUAUUUGAAUCACUUAUUUGUAAGGAGUUUACAUUGAACCAGAAGUGUUGAUCAUUUAGGUUAUGAGGUAAGAUACUUGAUAUGGAGCACUUAUUAUGGUGCCUCUUGAAUUGAUAUUGACUUUUUUAGUAACUAUAGCCAAAUUGAGCUAUAACAUUAAAACCAAGAAUAAUAUGUUGCUAAUCUUCUAAUGAAAUGAAAUGAGUGGUGAUGGCUACAAAUUAUAGGACAUGGAUUUUUGUUGUUUUUUUUUUUCUGCAAAUAUGUAAUGACAUAGGCUAUUUGUGUAGUUUUACUAAUAAAAGGACUAUUCAUGUAAUGUAAGAAGAUGCCUGACCAUUUCUGUAGUUUUGCAUAAUUACGAACCAUCAUUGAUUUUGACAAUUGUUAAAGUAUAUUACACAUGAACCAGUUCUGUAAUCUGUCUGUAAUUUGUUUAUUAAAGAGGGAUCUAUUAUGUAUUUCUUUCAUUACAGGGGGUCCAUUUUUGUAAUGAAAUAUCAGUUUUUAUGGUUAUUAACUAUCUUUGAGUAGAAGUUCAAAGUUGGUUUGGAAGAUUGAAUUUCUUGCUGUCAAAAUUAGUGGCAGUUGCUAGAUUUAGUCCUUAUAGCCCACAAAUGAAUAUAUUCUCCCAUGAAUGAUUGCAAGCAUCUCCGACUGAGAUAAUUAACAAAUUUGGUCAUAGAGUUGAUUAUUAUAGUAGGUUACAAGGUAUUGCUAACUUUUGUGUCUAUGUAAUUGUUACAUUUCUCUUUUAUUUAUUGGAAUAACUUUUCUCCUCUGCCAUCUUGCUAGAGGUUAUUUUAAUAUAGUUAGCUGCAUUUGAUUGGUCUAAUGAAAAAUGUAAUGUUUCAAGGUUUUCACUUACAAAAUUAUCAUCGAUCAUCAGUGCAUGGUUGCUUAGUUGGAUCAAUUUUUUAUUCCUAUUUCAUUAUUCGGUUUAAUUGAUAUAGAUAUUUUUUAAUUUUCUAAAUUUAGCAUGGUUGCUUCUGUUUAACCAUAUGAUCUUUAUGCUUAUCGUGUGUUAAAUUUAAGCUUCAUUGCAAAGUAACAAAUAUUGAAAUAUAAUCUACGUGCUGUUAUAUUUAAACUACGUUUCAGUAAAGUAUGUUAUUAUAUAUUUUCUACCAUAUGACAAUGUUAAAAAUAUGAUAUUUAAGNAUUAUUAUUAUUAUUAUUAUUAUUAUUAUUAUUAUUAUUAUUAUUAGACAAAAUUACACGAUUGGUCCCUGUGGUUUACCAGAUUUAACACAUUGAGGACAACGAUGGAAAACGAAAUUACUCUUUUACUCCUAAUCCGAUUUUUUUUAUUAAUUUAUAUUUCUCUUUUUGGUUUUAAAUUAAUGUUUUAUUUAUUAGAACAUGUCAACCAAAUACCAUAAAGCCACCCACCAUCUGCCAUCACCACCACCACCACCACCAAAAUUACAUAAAUGGUCCAUAUGGUUUACCCGUGGUAAUAAAUUCAGUCAUUACUACCUGAAAAGACCAAAUUACCCUCACAUUAACAGACAAAACCAACGAUUUAUAUUUUCCAAAUUGGUUUUCCGGCCGCUGUCAUACAUGACAAUAAAGUUCAAUUUGUGAGACCAAUUAUUUAUUUUCUUCAUUUAUUACAAGAAAUAAUGAUUUAAAUUUCCUUACUUACGUAAUUAGAUGACAUUGUUUAUCUUCCUUUACUAGAUUAUCUCAAUACAAUUCAACAUGCUACUUUACUUUACAAAGCAAUAUCUUUCGACCCCGGCAACGCCGGGGAAUCCUUUCUAGUUUUAAUAUAGUUAGCUGCAUUGGAUUGGUCUAAUGACAAUUGUAAUGUUUCAAAGUUGUCACUUACAAAAUUAUCAUCGAUCAUCAGUGCAUGGUUGCUUAGUUGGAUCGAUUUUUUAUUCCUAUUUCAUUAUUCAGUUUAAUUGAUAUAGAUCUUUUUCAAAUUUCUAAAUUUAGCAUGGUUGCUUCUGUUUAACCAUAUGAUCUUUAUGCUUGUCCUGUGUUAAAUUUAAGUAACAAAUUUUGAAAUAUAAUCUACAUGCUAUUAUAUUUAAACUAUGUUUCAGUAAAGUAUGUUAUUAUAAAUUUUCUACCAUAUGACAAUGUUAAAAUAUGAUAUUUAAGCGACAUCUUAUUGUAUAUUUCAAUUAAUGAGUAUGUACAAACUUUAUGUCUCUAUAAGAAUAUUUUUGAUAUUUAGUCGGUAAUUAAAUAAUUAUAUCUACCUCUUCUAAUAAAUGAAACCUAAAAAUGUGUAACACCGUAAAUUUCAAAAUAAUUUUUCACAAAUUAUAAAAAUAUUUCUCAUUUAAUUUUCAUAAAAACAUUAAGUUAAAAUCCCAAUUCACAUCAUACAAAUCCCAAGAUCAUAUAUAUGUAUUAAAAAUCUCAUGCGUGUGUACAGAUCAAGCCGGCGCCUUCCCACGGUCAUCGCUAGUACCUGAAACAAACAACACUAACACUGUAAGCACAAAGCUUAGUGAGUUCCCCAAAAUACCACAUAAACAUAUAUUAGCCACUCGAGGCUAUAACUCUAUGGGUCCGUGCACCCAAGCUCUGUGAACCCUCAGGUUCUAACUCUGGGAACCUUCCGGUUCCAACUCUAUAAACAUGCACAGCAUAAAUCACAUAGACAUCAUGCAGUACAACACAUAGCAUACACAUAACAUACACAUACUCUGACACAUAACUCUGAUUACCUACUCAAGGUAAAGUAUAGUGAGAAGACUCACCUCGGGUAUCUCGAUAACUCGCGAAUCCUGGAAAUCACUCGUGCUCGUUCCUCCGAGCUAUAAUCCUCCUAUAACAUCAUAUAUCUCUUAAUUAACACUUUUACCACUAAGGUUGACUACCCUUAUCAAGUCAACACUGGACAACUCUGGUCAACGGUCAACGGUCAACGUCAACGGUGACCGGACUCGGCGAGUGCACUAGGGCGACUCGGCGAGUCUAGGCGUUUUCACCAACUCUCUAGGAUUCCCUUUUUGACACGUCGAGUAUUCCCCUGACUCGACGAGUUCCACCUGGUAUGAAUCGCGGGGCCACCCCGACUCAACUCGCCGAGUCUCAAGAACAACUCGGCGAGUUCCAGUUCGACUCAAUCCACCUGUCAACCCUCUCUAACUCUCCCUGACUCACUGAGUCAACCCAUAACUCGGCAGGACCACUCACUGAGUGGUUAAGGACAAUCUUCAUGCUACUCGCCGAGUCUGUUCUUCAGACUCGGCGAGUCCAUGCCAUGCAUCAACUCAAACUUGCUUCUGAGGUCAGAUCCGCUCCAACAACUCAUAGAUCUGGCCCUCCUAAGCUUAUUUAUCACGUAAAGUCCACAUCUUGGUGCUCAUAACACACCCCAUGACUCAUAAAUGGUGUUUUGACCUUAAGCACAAAGACCCCAAUCCAAAACCCCCAUGGAUUCAUAAAAAGCUGGGGCAAAGGGACACUCUGGACCUCCAAAGGUCCAGAUCUAGAACCUAACUCGCUUAAGGGACCAAGGAAGCACUAGAUCUAGCCACAAAAGGGCUCAAUAAGCCCUAAAUCAAUAUAAACAUCAACAUAACAGAGAAUAGCUCGAAGGUAGUACCUCAAAUGUGAUGUUCUGGACCUCAAAUCUUCAGGAAGUGGCUCCUCUUGAUUCCCCCCUUAGCUAUUGUUUCCUUUCCCUUGCAAUAUAACACCUCCAAGGUCAAUAAUGGCUCCUUGCUUUGCUCCAAACGCUCAAACUCGCUAGGGUUUCACUCAGGGGUCUAGUGAGCACAAAUGACGGCCUUAAGGCCCUUUAAAUAGGUCCCAAACCCAAGAAAUUAGGGUUUCAUUAAACAGCGCGGACUCGCCGAGUCCAGGCGCGAACCCGCGUCCAGAACCGCGAUCCUACUCGGUGAGUUUGAGCUCCAACUCGCCGAGUCCCCUCACAAAACACCAAAAACAUAAGCAUAAAAGAUACCUGGAAAUCCGGGCUAUUACAAAAUGACACAUGUCAGUUUUUUAGAAUGUCUCUUUGACACGUGAUAUUUUUCUAUAAUUUUUAUUAUGUCCUUUUUUUGUAACAAACCAAAUGAACCGACUCAGCUGAACCAUCCAGGGAACCGAACUUGGUGGAAAAUAGGAACAGAACCGGACCGCCGGUUCUAUCGGUUCCGGUUCCUAUCGGUUCUUGUCAUGUCUUCAAUGUUGGAACUGGUCCUCGAGAAAUAGCAACAUACGGUUUCGGUUUUUGUCGGUUCCACCGGUUUUUGCCGGUUCUAAAAAUCCACAAGAAUAUCGUUGCCGGUCCCGGCCCGACCGGUUCCAUCAGGUUCCAUUUCCGGUACCGGUUCCGGCCAAUUCCCGGUUCAUAUACUCAUCCCUACAAUAAUGAAAGCCAAUAUGUUUUCAUUAUGUUUUCCCGUGCUCAAAUUAUAUAUGCGCUUAUACUUUCGAUAUCUAGAAAAUUAUUGGAGGUUGGAGAAUUUAAAAAAGAUAUUAAAAUAAUAAAGUUAAAACUUGUUUAAAUUGUGUUGAAUACCACAAAAGAACUUAAAUGCAAACAUAAUAUGCACUCAAGAAGGGCUUAAACUACAACGUACUUGGUCAUGUACGAAACUGGAGCAAAAAAAAAAAAGGGUUUAAGGAAUCAAUAUAGAUAUGGUUUGGAAUAAAAAAUGCGCAGUUCAUAUAUAAUCGAAAAUUACAACAAGAGUUAAGCAAUUAAAUCAUGUAAUAUAUGUAAAAUCAAAACCUCUAUGGCUAAUAAUAUGAUGAACUGAGUACGUGAACAGUGAAUCAGAGGAGAACCCAAACAUUCGUUGAUGAUAAUGCUGACUGGCGUAGCCUCGGGACUGUGGAGUUUUGAUGAAUCGAUUUUGUUCUUUAGUUUUUAUUUGUGGAGGGUGAAGAAAGAACGAGAGAAAGAAGAAUCUAUAACGAAAUAUAUAAUUACCUGCAUAAUUUUUUUAAGACCUUUGAUUCCUUGAAAAACGAAGAACUUGGUGGUGUUGUGUAGAUGUGUGUGGUGAUCGGGUGAAACUGGGAAGUAGCCGACUCCUUAAUUUCUUUUUCUUUUGUAGGUGAAGAACAACUAUGGUGAGAUAAAAGAGAAAGAUUAUCUCAACCUAUUUAUUUUGUUUCCUUAAUUGCAAGUGCAAAAACCAAAAGCACACUUAUUGAUUUAAUAAAUUAUUUAACUUUUUUCUAAUUUGUGAUCGGUACAUUCAUACACAUAAUAGUUGUUACAAACAUUUGAAUCUCUCUCUCUCUCUCUNUAUAUAGAGAGAGAGAGAGAGAGAGAGGUGAGUUAUUAUGAGAACUAAAAAAAACGUGUGAACUUGUGAACUCAUAAUCAACUCAUCAUUUUUUAAAAUAAAAAACAACAAUCUUCUAAAAAUGUUACGUCUAAGCCAUAUCUAGGAUAAAAAAAACUGACAAAUUUUUUUAUUUCUUAUCGAAAUUUGCAUGUGUGCAUAACGAGCAGUCGUAUGGACUGCUGAUAACACUAUCAAUAAACAUAUGUACUGCGGAUGCAUACAAUUAGCAGCCAUAAGCAAUGAUGACGAGCAAUCAGCAGUCCACAUGACUGUUAAUUGUGCUCAUUAGCGAUCAAUAUGACUGGUGAUUGUGCUCAUCAACACUCAUAUAAAAAAACCAAAAAAAUAAUCGUCAAAUCUUUUUUUGAGCAUAGAUAUGGCUUAGAUGUAUCAUUUUAAAAAGAUUAUUGUUUUUGGUAUUGAAAAAUGAUGAGUUGAUUAUGAGUUCGUAAAUUUUUACAAAUCAUUUGNNNNNNNNNNNNNNNNNNNNNNNNNNNNNNNNNNNNNNNNNNNNNNNNNNNNNNNNNNNNNNNNNNNNNNNNNNNNNNNNNNNNNNNNNNNNNNNNNNNNNNNNNNNNNNNNNNNNNNNNNNNNNNNNNNNNNNNNNNNNNNNNNNNNNNNNNNNNNNNNNNNNNNNNNNNNNNNNNNNNNNNNNNNNNNNNNNNNNNNNNNNNNNNNNNNNNNNNNNNNNNNNNNNNNNNNNNNNNNNNNNNNNNNNNNNNNNNNNNNNNNNNNNNNNNNNNNNNNNNNNNNNNNNNNNNNNNNNNNNNNNNNNNNNNNNNNNNNNNNNNNNNNNNNNNNNNNNNNNNNNNNNNNNNNNNNNNNNNNNNNNNNNNNNNNNNNNNNNNNNNNNNNNNNNNNNNNNNNNNNNNNNNNNNNNNNNNNNNNNNNNNNNNNNNNNNNNNNNNNNNNNNNNNNNNNNNNNNNNNNNNNNNNNNNNNNNNNNNNNNNNNNNNNNNNNNNNNNNNNNNNNNNNNNNNNNNNNNNNNNNNNNNNNNNNNNNNNNNNNNNNNNNNNNNNNNNNNNNNNNNAUAUAUAUAUAUAAGGUCCGAUUCCGGUGAAGACUCAAAAUAUAGCGAUGAUUGCGAGGACUAUUCUCAAUCACCAAUUUCGUCGAGGUCACAAACGUUAAACCCAAUACUUGGAAAUGAUAUGUUCAAAUGCGACCUACAUCCGUUGUAAUUAAUACGGACUCGAGGUUUUAAUCAUGUGCGACGAACGUCUAUGAAACGUUAUUUAUGCUCGUUUUAAUGUUUUUAAUUAGUUUUUUUUCGAUUUAUUUAUUUAUUGUUUUUAAUUUUUUUUUUCAUUUUUUCUAAUAUUUUUACUAUAUACUUGAAAAACUAGUGUUUUUCUUUAUUUUUGUUUUUAUUUUUUUAUUUUUUGCUUUUUAUUUUUUUACUUUUUUGAUUUUUGAAACUAAAUACCAGUUUGAGUUUUUAAUGUUUAACAAUUAUAAAAUUUUAAAUAAGAAGAAUAUUAUGGAUCAUAAUGUAACAUCCGUGUUCCAAAUAGUUUAUAUUUUGGGCUUGAUUUAUUAAAAGUUUGUAAAAUCAGUCCCUACGUUGGGCGUACGUGAUAGGUACGCCAGACGUAGGUCAUUUAGUGUGAUCGUGGGUUCCUUUGCAUACGUUGGGCGUAUGUAUGGGUACACUGGGUGUACUCAUGCAGAAUGCAAAACCGUAAUUUUUAAGGUUUGGACCCUAUUUAAACACCUUAUGACCUCAAGGCCUCUUUCAUCACCAACCUCCAUCGUUCCAAAGCAUUCCCCUCGAAACCCUAGCCCCCAUUUAUGAGAUUUUGAGCCCUUUGAGUGAUUUGGUGUGUUUUUGGUUCAUAUUGAAGAAGGAGCUCAUUGGAGAAGUAUUGGCUGGUUUGAAGCUUGUAGAUCCAGACCUUGUUCAUCUUGAUCAUCCUUCUAGAGGUAUAAAGUCUCAACCUUGAUAGUUCAUUUCUUAGAUCUAGUUUAGCUUAGGGUUUUGGCAUAUUUUGGUCCGAAUGGUUGAUUCUUGUGAGUAAAAGUACCCCGGAAGCUUAGGUUAGCAUUCCUUGAUGUUUCUGAGGUCCCUAGUGCAUAAAAAUCGUAUCUUGAUGAGUGUUGGUUCACCCAUGCAUGAGUUGUUUUUCUUAUUAUGAAGUUAGAAGGUUAGAAUUUGGUUUUGGGCUUCUUUGAGCCAUGAAAAGUCAUCAAGUUGUCAACUUCUUUAUAUGUAUGUGUCCGUAUAAAUUCGAAUUUGUCUAUGCUUUGACGACGUAUUUUUUUUAUUUAUGUUUCGUACUUAUUUUUAUAUUCGUUCCUACACAUGAAUCAGGUCAUAUGUAGUACGUUUUUGAUAAUUUGAACUUCCGUUCGUUAACUUUAAAAUAAAAUAUUACUUAUUUUUAUGUACGUGUCAGUAUAACAGUUUCUUUAAGUUUUUGUAUUUAUUUUUAUAUACUUUUUCUACGUAUGAAUUUUAUCACAUAUAAUACGUACAUUUCCAUUCGAUGGUAACGGCUUUGUAUAUUUAUCUAUCAAUAAAUGUAACUAUAUCUAAUUUUUACUAAUACAAUUAUUAAAGUUCAACUUAGUUACAAAACGGAUUGACAAUGCCGCAAAACACGGCGGGCAAAAUCAUAGUUUUCAUUAUUUUCAAGAGAUUUAGCACCCACACACCCAAAAAAUAAAAUGUUUUUCAAUCAUUUUCAAAAGAAUUUGAUUUUUCAUCAUUUUAUGAACAGGUCGACUUUUCAUCAUACAAAUAAUAUUCGAACAGUUUCUGGUUUCUCAUCUUAAAAUGGAAACCCAAUGUUGAAACCAAAACCGUGCCUUUCCCAUCGUAUUUGCUAAUGUUUUUACUCAUUGCAUAAUGUUAUUGUAGGUUUAUCAAUCUUCUUUGUUCCUUCUUUGAAACACUCAUCUUAUUAUUCGACUGGUGAACUUCUUGUAAAAUUUUCAUCUAUGUUCCAAAAUUAGAUCAUCUCCACCCUCAAUAUUCAUUCUAGAAUCUACAAGCAAAGUGUUGUUCUUGAGAUCUUUAUAUUGUACAAUCAGCUUCAUGGCUAAACUAACCAUUACAUAAUCCGUUCAAAAAAUUUCAAGCUAAUUUUCCGAUUACUUUCCUUCACACAUGAUCUUUCAAGCUUAUUUACGAUCAUUCAUCAAAAAUGAUUAAAUGCUUCUGAUAAAGGUUUAGUGGUUAUAAGUUUGAAGUUACCAAACUCGUUAAUGGCACUUGUUCUUCUAUUUGAUAUCCCAAAUUUCUUUUGUUGACUUACAGUAUUCAACAUAUUGAAAAUAUCCAGAGGUAUGCCAUAUACUAUAUUCUAUUUCUGAUUCUUCAUUAUUCUUUAGACGUGCUUUAAUUAUUGUCAUUAGUACGUUAAUGAGGUUGUUUCCUGUAUGAUUAUUCAGGAAUGCUUGUUAAUGAUUCUAUCAUACAUUGGAAAAAAAAAAAGAUACAUUUACAUGUUAACUACAUGUUUACUAAUCCUUGGAAAUGUUUACUAAUUUUUGGAAAUGGUUAUCACUCUACAUUGUUUUUCUUUAUUUAUUUAUUAUUAUUUUUACAUUAUAUUAAAUAAUAAACACAAUGAAACAUUAAUAAAAAAACACAUUAAUAAAAAUAAAAACAAUAUUUUUAAAUUCAACAUACAUGCUUACUAAUAAAAUAAAUAUUGAUAAACAUAAAAGUGAUAUUUUUAAAAUUCAACGUAUAUUUUACUAGUAACAUAAAAAUUAAUAAAAAACAUUGAAAAAAAAGCUAUUCGUCUGCAUCGUUGUCCUCAUCGUCCGCGUCCUCAUCCACUUUGUUUUCAUCUUCAAAUUGUCGUUGCCAUAUGUGCUCAGUCAAAUCUUGACGUAAAUUGUGAUGUGUUUCACUAUUCCGUAUUUCCAAAAGCCUUGUAAAGUAUGCAGGGCUGCCGACUUGUAUUACUGCAAGUGGAUUGAGCAUAUCAUUCGGAGUAUAAGUACAAAUAGUCAUACCCUUUUCUUCUAGUAUCAUGUUAUGUAAAAUAACACACGCUUUCAUCACCUUCAUCAUUUUUUCCCUUUCCCAUGCUCGUGCUGGAUAUUUGAUUAUGUGUCACUUUUGUUUGAGGACCCCAAACACCCGCUCCUCAUCCUUCCUUGCAGAUUCAUGUGCUAAUUUGAACAAUUUCUUUUUUUCAUCAGCUGGAUAUAUGUAUGACUUGACAAAUAUAGCGUACUCUGGAUAUAUCUCAUCAGCAAUGUAAUAUCCCUGAUUGUAUUCGCGUCCAUUAAUAACGUAUGGCAUGUUUGGUGUUUUACCCUGCAAAAUAUCGUUAUAUAAUGGAGAUGCUCCAAGCACAUUCAUGUUGUUGUUUAACCCUGCCAUACCAAAAAAUGCAUGCCAAAACCAGAGGUCCUGUGAAACAACUGCUUCUAGUAUAACAGUAGACACACCAUGAUCACUUCGUGUGAAUUUCCCUCUCCAUGCAUUGGGACAAUUUUCCCACACCCAAUGUGUACAAUCAAUGCUACCUAGCAUUCCUGGAAAUCCAUGUUUAGCCUGAUGUGCGACAUACAGCUAUUCGACAUCACUUCUGGUCGGAUUUCGCAAUUAUAUGUCGCCGUAAAGCUCUAUAACAUACUCACAAAAAAAUAUGUGCAUUCUCGACCGGUCCUCACAGACAUCUUCAAAUAUUCAUCUAAAGCGUCUGCUGCUAUGUCGUACGCUAAUUGUCUAAGAGUUGUUAUGCAUUUUUGAAACGUAGUAAACCCACGUUUACCCCUAGCAUCCCAUGUCAAUUGGAAGAACUCAUAAUUGUUUUCCAAAUCUCUAGCUAUACGUAGGAAUAAAUUUCUACUGAUACGAAAGUGAUCCUCAAACUUCGAUAGGUCGUAUAAACUAUCAAGGUUAAAGUAAUCACGUACCAAAAGUUCGUUUGCCGCCUCUCGAUCCCGAUUGAUGGACUUUCUUCGUUUCUUCUCGACAUUUGAAGUUUCGCCUCUCUGACGUAUAAUGUCGUGUGUCGCAGACAACAACGUGUGCAUAACCAACUCAUCAUCAUCGGAAUCUUCAUCAGAUGAAGAAGAAGAAGAAAUGACUUCCAAAAAAGUAUUCAAAUUCUUGUUGUUGAGUGUGAUUUUUUUGUAGUUGUUGUAAAUUAUGUGAUAUGUAUUAUGUUUGUAUAUAUAGGUGAGGUUUUAGUUUUGAAAAGAUUUUUUUUAAUAAAUAUUAACGGUCAAAAUGGACUAAAUGGGAGAAAACGGUCAAAAAACGAGGCAUCCAAUCAAAUUGCGCGUAACCACCUGUGAACCAUGUCACUCCGCGUCACAUUCACCGGGGAGGGGGACGGUGUUCACGCGUAAAUACCCCCCUCCACGUCACCCUUUACGUGUCAAAAAACCCAUCAUACCCGGUGGCCUUAUGAUCGACACCCACCAUUGAUUUUCUAUUAAUGCAUUGUUUUCAAGUUUGAAACUUUUUUUAUUUGACCAACGAAAACUUUAAUUUAAUGCUGAAUGAGUUUUUGGUGUAUAUUAUUCAGAUCUUAUAAUGCUAAUGCAUAAGUUACAAUUAUAAACUACAAAUAAUUAAGUUAACCAAACCAAAAAGAAAGUUAGAAAACCGAAUAUAGCAUAAGUACAAGACACCAAACAAAAUGUUGUUUGAAACUACAAAUAAACUAUAAAAAACAAGACUUCUAAUAACAAUCUGUAAUUAAUUCGAAUUAAAAUAUGUUCAAAAACCACGUACACCCACGUCGACCUCAUGUAGGGUGAGAUGAAACGUCCACCAAUGUAUACCAGUUGUAAUCCUUAGCUAGAAAGAUAAAUGCUGUGUAUAAUAAAUAAAAACUAUUGUCCUUAUUGAGCUCAGCACAUCAUUGUCAUGUUUUCCAUAUUUACUAUGACAUUACAUGUUAGUGUACUUUAUAGUAAGCAAGAUAUGACAGUGUCAUUCGUAAGAAUAUUAAGUUAGAAUCAAACAAAGCAACUUUAACACAAAAUAAGAAAACAAACCCCUACUUUUUUUAUGGGAAUGUUUUAUUAUUAAAACCAAGUUUGUGUUUCCUAGCGGGGUACUUUUGUCUUUGGGAGUGUAACAUUUAUGCCUUACCGGAAAAUGUGGCGAUGUUACUAAACUAGAGAUGUUUGUUGCAAGUAGUUAUCAUUGCAUAUUAUGUCGUUUCCCAUGAAAGAUUAGCUUUCAUUUUUCAAAGUGGAAUAGUAUAAAAGAAUAAUGCAUUUUAUUAUCCUGGAUCAAGAGAUUUUGGUAAAUCUUAUGAAUCAUGAUGGGUAAAUACUAAAUACAUAGUGAUUGAAGAAAUAAACAAAAAAUGAUAGAUAAAUUUGGUGUUUGAGAGUUGUUUGUAUAUCAUUUUGAACGUGUUGAUCCGAUUAUUAUGAAUUCAACUUAUAAUUAGAAUGGCGAUAUUUCAAAUUAAAAUAAAAUAUUUUAAUUAUUUAUGGGUCAAAUGAUUAAUUUGAUACUAUCCAUACCAAAAGUGAUUAUCAAAUUGCAAAGUAAAAUUACUUAUAUAUGAUUAUUUGAUCUAUUAUUAAACAAGUAGAUGUUUCAAGCAUUAAUACGACAGUUAAAAAGUAGUUAUUGCAACUAUAAUUGGAAUUAGUUACAAGUAAAAAUGAAAUAUUUAAUUAGUGUGGGUGCUACCCCAACUAAAAUGGAGGCACAUAAAAUGAAAUCGAUGUGGAAUGCGAUUCUUAAAUCUUGAUCACUAAAGUAAAAGCCAUUCCCUACUCCAUAAAUAGAGACGACAAAAAGAAGUAAUUUAAUUCCCAAAUCCCCAACAACUUCUUAUUUAAUUUUCAACAAAAAUUCGUAAAAUAAAUUAGAACAAUUAUUAUCAUCAUGAUUUAUUUUAUAAAAACAAAUAGAUUUUUUUUAACAACAGCAAACUAUACAUAAAUAAUAAAUAAAAAAGUAAUAUAGUAAGUAGAUAUCUAGUACUAGGAAUCGACACUACCAGAAUUGCAACCACCUUUGUAACUAGAUUCAUCUUCGAGGGCAGAACUGUCCAAACGAGGGGCAGUUUGGGAAAAACAGUUCCGAACUCAAGACAUUUCAUUACAUAGUGCCAAAAUCAGUAUUUUUAAAUGGUGUCAUCACCAAAUCCAUCAGUUUCAUCAGUGGGCAUGAUCAUUUUCGUCAAGGGCAAAAUCGUCCGAUUAAUGGGAGAUUGAGAAUUAUGGUAUCGUUUCGAGUUCCUGACCAAUUUAUGAACACCAUCAUCAUUCAUCAAGGGCAAAAUCGUCCCUCGAAUAAAGCUCACAUGUAAAUGACUUGCAUCGAGGAAAGAAGGACCAUAAAUGAUCCAAGUGCACCUGAGUUUCUUUCUGACUUCAUUUUGUAAGACCUUAAAAAAAUUAUUUAGUGUAUGUAAUCCAUCAAAUACUCCUAAUUUGCUAAGAAUUUCAAGUUAUAGAAAUUUGUUUCUAAGUGCUAUACCUUAGGCAUAAAAGUACAAUUGUGUUUUAAGGCAUUGAGAAUUUGUUUAUUAUGUAUGAUUAUGAAUUGUUUACAAGCAUAUCUAUGUGGUUGAUCCAUCAUCCAAAAAUAAGGUACAUGUAUGACACAUGAAUGUGUAUUUAGUAUAUAUGGAUUUUAAAGUGUUAAGUUCUUAAACAUGGGUAUGGGAAGCAUAUAAUGUUAUUGCAUUGUGUAAGAUAUGAAACAUUUAGCUAAAGAGUUCACAACAUAUUGACUAGUUUUGACAGUUUGGAAAAGUAUAUUAUCUAAAUCGCAAAAAUUAGUAAAAAUGGAGAUUGAGAUGUUGAAAUAUAAUGUUAAUCCUAUAAAAUAAUUAACUAUGUUAUUUAAAGGGUAUUUAGGGGAUUUUCACCGUGCGAUGAUCAAUAAAAUUAAUCAAGGAAAUACUAAAUGUGAUUUAGGUCUUGUUUGUUUACCUCUUAAUUGUAAAAUUAAGAGACAAUGUCUUAAAAAUUCAGAUUCAGAUCUAUUGUUUGCGUCUUAUUUUUUACCUUUUAAAAUGGCUGAGUUUACAUGUGUUUUGCGAUGUGGGAUAGAAUAGCUGGGAAAAUAAAACAAAAGUAAACAAAGAAUAUGUAAAAAGCAUGAAUUGAUCUUGAGACCUUUACUUCAAUAACCUAACACCUUGACCAGCAGACCAACUGUUUAUUUGUAUUUAUAAGUGGAGGGAUGCGUAUAUAUACACUAUACCGAAUUUUUUUUUUUGAGGGAUACGUAAACAAAAAUUACACUACCGAAAAUUUUUUGAGGGGUAUCCCGGGCUACCCCGGGAUCCCCUUGGAUCCGCCCCUGUUUAAAAUUAAAAACACCUCUUAAUUUUUCAGAUACGCAACAAAGUCUGAAUUUUAAAAAAAGAAUGUGAUUCUUGUUUUGCCCUAAACCACACAAUCGAACAUAACCUGCCUCCUCUUCUCUGUUCUGUGCGUCUUCUAAUCCAACGUCUUCUUCCAUUCGCGUCUGCAUAUCUCCGACGACAUUGCCUGAAACAACAUCGCCCACCCCAACGUCGAUGUCACAGCACCCUUGCAACGCCAACGCCGCUGCACCUCUGCAUAUCUCGGAUUGUGCCCUAAACUCAAAAAUCAAAAACCGAAAACAAGUUCGUUCUCUUCUUUUGAAAAUCGAUUGCUCUUCUUUUGUUUCUUCCUUCUUUCCCCCUAAAGUCGAAAAUCAAAAAUCGAAAUCCAUUCUUAUGUUAUGCUUAUCGGUUUCUGAUUUGUUAAAUCGUAAUCUAUAUUUGAUGUUAUGCUCGAUUUUGAUGGUAUACGAUCAAAUUUAAAUGUGUUCAAUGGAUGUGAUGAAAUGUUGAUGUUGAAUUUUUUUUAUGCUUUUUUGAAGUUAAAAAACAAAACCAGCUAUGUGUACAAUCCGACAACUAACACCUUCAAUCUUUCCAAAGAAGAAUGGGAACUAGAAUCGAAGGUGUUUUGUUUACUUAUAAAAAAUAUAUUAUCAUGUUUAAAUAAUAAAAUAUUUUUUCCAGAAAGUCAAACAAACAUGUGGAUUCUUUGAGACGCACGCCACUACCGUACCCCGACCUUUGCACACAAUUGUUUGAAGACGUGACUGCGACAGGCAAUCAUAGUUGUUGGCCAACUUCUACCCUUCCCCGUCCUAGUCAAGAUUCAAGCCACUAUAGUUUGCAUGACUUUGAUGACAUCGAUUGCACUCAACAAGAAACUGUAGGUCUCAGUAAGGAGUCCUCUGCUCAUUAAAAAAACAAAAGACUACAAAUACAACAAAAUGUCAAAAUAAAAGUAAAGAUAAGAGUAAAGAUGCAUCGAAUUCAAGAUUGCUUGAAAUCGGGGAAGAUAUUGCAACAAUUGCUAAGAUAUUUGUGGAAAAACAUGCUUCUUCAAAAUUGGGUGUGUGUAUGGAAAAGUUGGAGAAGUUAGGAUGAGGAAUAUUUGAUCCAAGAUACACUACUGAUGUUGCUCCUUUUGGUGAAGGUGCGGAUAAGAGGCACGUGUGGUUAACCAUUGAUCCAGCUGUUUGUGAGAAUUGGGUCAAGACUAUUGGAGCAUAUUGUGGAAUGUUUCGCUAAGUAGAUGUUUUGAAUGAUUUGAUGGUUUUUGUUGAUAACUAGAUGUUUUGAACACUUCAUGUUUUGGAUAACUAGAUGUUUUCAAUUACUUUAUCUUUGGUUUGAACUAGAUUUUUAUAUGACAAGAAUGACUUGAUGUUUUGGAUUACUUGAUCUUUGUUUUGAACUAUAUUUUUAUAUGACAAAAAUGACUUGAUGUUUUGGAUUACUUGAUCUUUAGUUUGAACUAGAAUUUUAUGACAUGAAUGACUUGAUGUUUUGUAUUACUUGAUGAAUUUUUACGUUAUAUGUUGUUAAUAUAAUUGUUAUGUAUUUUCAAAAUAACAGAUUGCUUAUGGAUUCAGAUGAAGAAAUUGCAUUUUUCAUUUCACUAUGUUGUUAUUGGUUGAAUCUAGCGUCCAAUAGAAUUGGAAGGACAAUUGAUAACGAUUCGAAAAUAAGCGGUCAUCAACAUACACAAGAAUUGUUACAUGGAACUUCUACACAAUGUCAUGAGUUGAUGCAUCUUUCACGUGAAGCGUAUGUACUUUUAUGCAAUCAUUUUAGACGAAACAAUUGGUUGCAAAGUAGUAGGCAUAUAAGCGUUGAAGAAAAGAUGGAUAUGUUCUUGACAACUAUAGCACAUAAUAAACGGUUCAGGAUUGUCAAACAAAGGUUUCAACACUCCACAAAAACUGUUCAUAGAUGCUUUCAUGAGGUGUUAAAUGUAAUGAUGAUUUUUGCAAAAGAAGUUAUAGUGCCAACAAAUUCUAAUGCAAUCGUGAAAUUCCUUAGAGAGACAUCAUAGGCUAAAAGAAAAAUAUUUCCUGGAGCAAUAUUUGCGUUAGAUUGAACUCUUGUACAUACAGUCGUACCUGUUGAUCGGAAGAGGAAAAGGUGAAUGCUUUCAAAAUGUUUUAGGAAUUUGUGAUUUUGAUAUGAUAUUCAUAUUCGUAUGGGUCGGUUGGGAGGGCAUAACACAUGAUUCACGAGUUUUGAAAGAAGUUGCAUUUAACCCGACUUCAAGCUUUUCGUUCCCUCCUCCAGGUUUGUAAUUCUUUUUAAAUUUAUUCUGAAAUACGAUUUUAAAUUUCUAUAUAUAAUACUUCCUUCAUUCAUGUGUAUAGAUAAAUAUUACCUUUGCAAUGCUAUAUACACCAACACUCAUGGAUUUAUGACUCCUUAUCGCAACACGAGGUAUUGGUUAUCCGGUUAUCGAUGGUGACAUGCGUUAACUAAAGAAGAUAAAUUCAAUCAUUCACAUGCGCAACUCAGAAAUGUUAUUGAACGUGCUUACAUUGUUUUGAAGGUGAGAUUCCCAAUCCUAAAGUAAAUGACUCAUUUUCCUUUUCCAGUGCAAGGAGAUAUAGUCGUUGCUUGUUUUGUGGUGGUUGUCGAGGCCAACACAAAUAAUAACCCUAAUUAUUACACACUAAAAUAGUGUAUAGUGGUAAAGGGAUCGAAUCCACGGAGAUUGGUUCAAUUUAUAACUCUAUGAAAAAUCUCUUUGUAAAAACACUUGUAAAAUGACAAUAAAAUAAAUUGGGGGUUUUGGUGUUUUGAAAUACUUGAAACAAACUAGAGUUAACUAUGAUUUAAAUAGACAAAUGCAAAAAAAAGUAAGGGUUUGAUGUAAAAUCAAUAAGGGAGAGAUGGUUGACUUAAAGUUUCCUCACUUUGACUUUUGAUGAACAUAUCAUUAGAAUCCAAUGGUGCAAUACUUUGAUUUAAAUCCUUAAUUUGGCUAUAGUAAUCCAAGGAGCUUGAGAUUACCUAGACUUUUCUUAAUUGUUGAAAUGGCUAGAGAAGCUCAUAACAAUUUCCUUAGUCAAAGUCACUAAUUCCAAAUAGCAUGUAAUUAGUGAAAGUCAACUAGCAUUAAGAACCAAAAAGUCACCAAAUCCAAGAGGGGUCAAAUGCUUUCACCACCAUGUUGGAGGAAAUGUUUUUAUGAUUGUGUGAAGCAAAAACAACACAAAAAUCAUUUGUUGCUUGCUAAUUUGAGGAUCCUUUACUUAAUCAAGAAAUUAGCCAACUAAUCACCACAAACACAUUUAAACUCAUGAACUAAAACAUACAAGUAGUGAUAAGAUGUUAAAACACAAAACAUUCCCAUAAAGAUUUAAGAACNCAAAUAAUAACCCUAAAUAUUACACACUAAAAUAGUGUAUAGUGGUAAAGGGAUCGAAUCCACGGAGAUUGGUUCAAUUUAUAACUCUAUGAAAAAUCUCUUUGUAAAAAUACUUGUAAAAUGACAAUAAAAAUAAAAUGGGGGGUUUUGGUGUUUUGAAAUACUUGAAACAAACUAGAAUUAACUAUGAUUUAAAUAGACAAAUGCAACAAAAAUAAGAGUUUGAUGUAAAAUCAAUAAGGGAGAGAUGGUUGACUUAAAGUUUCCUCACUUUGACUUUUGAUGAACAUAUCAUUAGAAUCCAAUGGUGCAAUACUUUGAUUUAAAUCCUUAAUUUGGCUAUAGUAAUCCAAGGAGCUUGAGAUUACCUAGACUUUUCUUAAUUGUUGAAAUGGCUAGAGAAGCUCAUAACAAUUUCCUUAGUCAAAGUCACUAAUUCCAAAUAGCAUGUAAUUAGUGAAAGUCAACUAGCAUUAAGAACCAAAAAGUCACCAAAUCCAAGAGGAGUCAAAUGCUUUCACCACCAUGUUGGAGGAAAUGUUUUUAUGAUUGUGUGAAGCAAAAACAACACAAAAAUCAUUUGUUGCUUGCUAAUUUGAGGAUCAUUUACUUAAUCAAGAAAUUAGCCAACUAAUCACCACAAACACAUUUAAACUCAUGAAUAAAAACAUACUAGUAGUGAUAAUAUGAUAAAACAAAAAACAUUUACAUAAAGAUUUAAGAAUAAGUUCAUGGAUUCUUCAACAUUCAACAAAAGUUCAAAGGAUUCAACAAAAAGUCAACCAAGAUUAGUUUAGCCAAGCAUGGCUAAACUCAAAGAAACAAAGUUAGUUAAGAUUGUACCAAAAAUUUGACAAGAAUCAAGAGAUGAAAAGAAGAUAUUCUUCAAGUGUUCUUGGCCUCCAAAAGUGCUCCAAACUCCAGAGAGAAAGUAUAAAAAUUGGACCUCAAGAUCAGGCUAAAGAGGCACACCCACCUUCCCAAUAUAGAUCUCUUAGCAAAAUCCCAAAAUUGCCCUUGUCAGGAAUCCACGCGGGCCGCGGGGAAUCUUACGCGGGCCACGGACUCUGACGGGUAUUUUGGGCUUCUUCAAGUCUUGGGCCCUCACAGCUAAUCCAUUGGCCCAGUUCGAGUCCAAUCAGCUUCUAGCCCAUUUUUUUCAAUAUUUCUUCAAUUUGAGCCCAAUUUGUCUUUCCACAUCACUCAAAACUUCCACAAACUCCUAAACAUCGAUCUUGCACACUCAAGAAUUUUCCCGUGCCUUUCAAAUUUAAAGUUCAACACUUCCAAGCCUUCAAGCAAUUGACAAGUCCACUCCAUGAAUCACCUCCAUAGCCAUCAAGCAUGAAAUCCCCAUUGCUCUUCAAGUCCAAUCUCCUCCCAAGAGUCCCGCUCAGCUAGUCUCCAAGAAAAUCUGCAAUAAUGCUCAAGAAACUAGAAAGUACCCGAAAUGGUCAUAAAAAUAACAAAAGGGAAAAUAUGCAUGGAAAUUAACUAAAAUGCAAAUGAAAUGUGCUAAAAAACUAUAAAAAGAAGUAAAUAAAAUGAAACUAUCAAAUCACCCCAAGCUUAAACCUUACUUGUCCUCAAGUAAGACAAGACUAAAAUGAACUCGGGAUGAAGUAUCCUAAGGAAAACAAAAAGAAUGGAUAGAACCGCGGAACCUGAUCACCGUUAGUCAACAUGGUCAGAAUUGAUCUUGCUAUUACCUCAUGAAUUUUUCAUCCGAUGACAAUGGGACCAUAAACCACAGCCAGGACAACUCCUUUAGGUGAGUAAGGAGGGAUGAGUAGUCGCAUCUCCAUUGGAACAUGCAUAUAAUGAAGAACAUCUGUAGUACGGAGAAAGCAGUUGGAUGGGAUCGUGUGGAGCUCUUCUUUAAGUGUACACUUUGAUCUCACGUCUGCCGGUUUCUAUCAUGCGUAAUUGGGUUUAAUCGCUCGGGCACCGUUAUAGGAAUCAGUUCACUUAGUGUUGGCCCAAACCUCCCGUAGUAUCCGACUCGACAGUCUCCCUAACAUCACCAAUUUGUGAGAAAAAACAACUCGAUCUAUAUACAAUAAAACAGACCUGUACAAAUGAAUAUCAAACACCGGGUGACCAAGAUGUUGGAAAAUUUGUUCAAUAAUUGAACCGGCCACCUAUCUAAGAUAGUUGCAACUGAAAAUUUGCAUGCUUCUUUUUGCUUUUUUUUUGAAUUCUUUUUUUUAAACACAUGAAGUUAAUGUAUUAACAAUCGAAAUUUUUAACAAGAAAACCCUUUGACUCAAAAUUUGGUUCCCAAAGGUGUGUAAGUGGAACUGAAAGGGUAAUGAUAUAAUGCGAAUGAUCUAAGUGUGAAAAUGACCAUGUGUGGAGCAUAAAGAUGUAAUGUAAGCUCCUUUUCAAACUUGUGGUUUUUCAAAGAUAAUGAAAAUGUCCAAAUGUGGACUAAAAGACUCUCUAAAAUUCUAAGAAAAUCGCAAAAAGAUAUGGUGAUGUAAAGAGACCGGAUAUGGAUUCUACUCGGGGACAAGCACCAAUGCUUCAUCCUAACAGUUCAAACAUGAUCAAGUGUGAUCCUCUCAGCAGUAGUGACCGCAAGGCUAAGAACAUCCAUUGCUAUAGUAUAUCCUACAGUUGUUAGUAUUGUAUGCAUAAUUCUUCAUGAAACUACCUGGCCAUGAUCACUUACCCCUUUAAGCUACUAGCAUCUGAUCCCAAGUAUGAAAUCCCAAACUGCAGCUAGUGGUCCCGGUUCGAUGGGUGAGGUAGCAACAAGAUCCUGGACCAAUAAUGAUACAAUAAUUGUGAACCUGUUCCAUGGCAUCCAAGAGAGGUGAGAAUAAACAGACAACAAAAAUGCAAGAAUGCUAAUGCCUUAAGCUAAAUGUUAUGCAAAAAUAAAAAGUGGAAAAGAAGAAAAUAAAAUCUUUUUUGAAAUUUUAUAAAAAAAAUUGAAUACAAAUUAACUUAAACUAAUAUGAUAUGCAACCUAACAAAAAAAUGCAUGAAAAAAUAAAAGAAAGGGAAAUGCCCCACCCCAAGCUUAAGAACAAGCAUUGUCCUCAAUGAUUAAGGAAAUGGCGGAAAUGACCAUAAUCGGAGGGUUGGGUAGAGCAUAAGGGUUUGUAGAGGAGGAAAAAUGGUGAAUAAUGGUGGUGGUCUCGCGGGAUUCUGACCGGUAGAUCUCUGGGAAAUCGAGUUUUUGUCUGGAGCGCGGGCGGGGAGCGGGCCGCGUGUAACAUUCUUGGUUUCCUCUUGAGUUCACAAAAGGUUCAGAAGAAUUUUGGGUCAAAACACGCGGGCCGUGUAAAGGCCGCGUGAACUGAAGCUCAAAAAAUACUAAGUGUUGAAACCAGCCCCGCGGGCCGCGUGGAACCCGCAUGCUGGUCGCGUGAGCUGAACAGGGCUAGAGGUGAUUGUUUUACGCGGGCAAGGAAUGGGCCGCAUAUAAGCCGCACACGACCUUACGCGGGCCGUGUGACUUCCUGCACCUUAAAAUUUGAAAUUUUUCUAAAAACUUAUUUUUGGCCAAAACGAUUCUCGUAAAGUCCCGUUUUCAAAAACACAACAAAAAGUUUGGACCAAAGGUGAGAAUAAAGCUUGAAAUUUUUCAAAAAUGAACAUUUUCAAAACAAAAAAAAAAUCAAAAUCAUUUUAUUCGUUUUAUAAAAGACGAAAGCACAAUGCUUCCCAAAAAUGUCCUUCUUUAACGUCUUUGGCGAGACGCCUCCAAACUUCACUUUAACACUUUGGGGCAUCCAAAUGGAUGACAUCUUGGACAUUUGAAUCAAAACCUUCAUACAAAGGUUUCAACCGAUGUCCAUUAACAUUGAAAAUUUGCCCCGUGUCGACAUUUUUUAGUUUCCACACCUCCAUUGGGACUCUUUUCUUGUAUUUAACUUUCUUUUUACGGGAGAACCAUACCGGACUUAGACCUUUGAUAAUAGCAAUCACCCAACCAUAUUCUUCCAUGUACCUUUUCAGUAAGGUGACCAACUCUUCCCUCUUUGACAUGGUGGUCGAGCUGGUGACCGGUUAGGUCUCCUCCUUCUCGGGAUAUGUAUCAUUUAAAGGGUCCGAUAGAUUCAUCGUUCCUGGCUCUUGUGGUUCAUCUACCACUGGAGUUAGUUUCUCAAUGGUAGUGGUGGCUCAACCUCUCUUUUGUUAACACCGAACACUUCCUCUAUAGUUUCAUUGACAUCUUUCUCAAUUUUUUCUUCCUCCUUGAUAGCCUCUUCCAUUUCUACGCCUUCUUCCUCUUCUCCAUAUAACACUCUUGGGCCAUCAAAACUUUUCUCAUCUUUCAAAGGAAUGGCACAUGGGCUCUCUUUAGAUGGUAGUUUGUCUUGAUCUUCCAUUAUACUUAUUGUUUGAGAAAGUUGUGUUAUUUGUUUCUCUAAGCUUUUGAGGCUAGCUUGCGUUGUUUCCUGGAAAUUUUGGGUAGAUGUGGCAAUGCUCUUCACAAUGUCCUCUAAGGACAUGCUUGGCAUUUAAGGUUGUUGAGAAGGUGAAGGAUAUGGAUGUUGGAACUGUGGAGGUUGUUGAUAUUGGUCACUUCUCCAACCUUGGUAUGAGCUUUGGUAUUGGUUGUAUCCCCAAGCUUGGUUGUUGUCCCACCAUUGAUCAUGUUGAGGUUGAUCAUAACUCCAUUGGUUUGACCAGUAGUAGCUUCCCUUCUCUUGCACUUCUUCCCAUUCUCCUUGUAAAUAUGGACACAUGUCGGAUUGAUGUCCAUUAUGGGCAUAAAAAUCACAAAGAAGAGGCGUGGGCUGCACACUUUGGUCACUUUCAAUCAUCAUAACUAACUGAGCUAGAUCAGAAAGUUUAUCUUCAAUGCUAGGAGUGUUCAUUCCCGAACCACACUUUUUUCUUCAAAUUUUGAGUUUUAAACUAAAGUACAUGCACAAUGAGAUCUAGGCAUAUAGAAACAAACUGAUUAAAUCAAAACCAAUCCCCGGCAACGGCGCCAAAAAUUUGGUGGUUGUCGAGGCCAACACAAAUAAUAACCCUAAAUAUUACACACUAAAAUAGUGUAUAGUGGUAAAGGGAUCGAAUCCACGGAGAUUGGUUCAAUUUAUAACUCUAUGAAAAAUCUCUUUGUAAAAAUACUUGUAAAAUGACAAUAAAAAUAAAAUGGGGGGUUUUGGUGUUUUGAAAUACUUGAAACAAACUAGAAUUAACUAUGAUUUAAAUAGACAAAUGCAACAAAAAUAAGAGUUUGAUGUAAAAUCAAUAAGGGAGAGAUGGUUGACUUAAAGUUUCCUCACUUUGACUUUUGAUGAACAUAUCAUUAGAAUCCAAUGGUGCAAUACUUUGAUUUAAAUCCUUAAUUUGGCUAUAGUAAUCCAAGGAGCUUGAGAUUACCUAGACUUUUCUUAAUUGUUGAAAUGGCUAGAGAAGCUCAUAACAAUUUCCUUAGUCAAAGUCACUAAUUCCAAAUAGCAUGUAAUUAGUGAAAGUCAACUAGCAUUAAGAACCAAAAAGUCACCAAAUCCAAGAGGGGUCAAAUGCUUUCACCACCAUGUUGGAGGAAAUGUUUUUAUGAUUGUGUGAAGCAAAAACAACACAAAAAUCAUUUGUUGCUUGCUAAUUUGAGGAUCAUUUACUUAAUCAAGAAAUUAGCCAACUAAUCACCACAAACACAUUUAAACUCAUGAAUAAAAACAUACUAGUAGUGAUAAUAUGAUAAAACAAAAAACAUUUACAUAAAGAUUUAAGAAUAAGUUCAUGGAUUCUUCAACAUUCAACAAAAGUUCAAAGGAUUCAACAAAAAGUCAACCAAGAUUAGUUUAGCCAAGCAUGGCUAAACUCAAAGAAACAAAGUUAGUUAAGAUUGUACCAAAAAUUUGACAAGAAUCAAGAGAUGAAAAGAAGAUAUUCUUCAAGUGUUCUUGGCCUCCAAAAGUGCUCCAAACUCCAGAGAGAAAGUAUAAAAAUUGGACCUCCAAGAUCAGGCUAAAGAGGCACACCCACCUUCCCAAUAUAGAUCUCUUAGCAAAAUCCCGAAAUUGCCCUUGUCAGGAAUCCACGCGGGCCGCGGGGAAUCUUACGCGGGCCACGGACUCUGACGGGUAUUUUGGGCUUCUUCAAGUCUUGGGCCCUCACAGCUAAUCCAUUGGCCCAGUUCGAGUCCAAUCAGCUUCUAGCCCAUUUUUUUCAAUAUUUCUUCAAUUUGAGCCCAAUUUGUCUUUCCACAUCACUCAAAACUUCCACAAACUCCUAAACAUCGAUCUUGCACACUCAAGAAUUUUCCCGUGCCUUUCAAAUUUAAAGUUCAACACUUACAAGCCUUCAAGCAAUUGACAAGUCCACUCCAUGAAUCACCUCCAUAGCCAUCAAGCAUGAAAUCCCCAUUGCUCUUCAAGUCCAAUCUCCUCCCAAGAGUCCCGCUCAGCUAGUCUCCAAGAAAAUCUGCAAUAAUGCUCAAGAAACUAGAAAGUACCCGAAAUGGUCAUAAAAAUAACAAAAGGGAAAAUAUGCAUGGAAAUUAACUAAAAUGCAAAUGAAAUGUGCUAAAAAAACUAUAAAAAGAAGUAAAUAAAAUGAAACUAUCAUUUUGCAGUCCAUAAUUUCAUAAGGAAAUGUAAUAUUCAUGAUGAGUUAUUUAUGACGUUCGAGGAGAACAAUGGUCAAGCACAACGGGGAGAGAAUGAUGGCCAAAACAACAAGAUAUGGAAUAUGGUUCACAAGGCAAUGAAUACAUGGAUAAUUUGUGUGACCAGAUUACGAAUCAAUUGGGUUCAAAUUAAAUUUGUAGGAUUUUAUUUGGAUUUUAGUAUGAUUUUGUGGAUUUGAAAAUAUUUAUGUUUGAUUUGGAUUUGAGUUUAAUUUUGAUUUAUGCUAGAUUUGGAUUUUAUAUGGUGUUUAUAUUUUUUUAUACUAAUUUAAGAAAUUUAUUAGGUUAUUUUCUAAACAAACAGUUGAAUUCAAUAAAAAAUAAAACAGAAGGGUAAAAUGGUUAUUUUAAUAAUUCAACACAACAAUUCAGAGGACCCAACCAAACAUCAUGUUAAACAUUCAGCUCUUAAAAUUUCAGACCCUCUUAGAAAUUCAGAUCUUAAAAAUUCAAAUCCUGCCAAACAACCAUCUUAGAGAAACAAAGAGAAAUAAGUUUUUGGCUGUAGAUGGGUUGGAAGGCCACACAACGUUGAAGUUGAGGUCCAUUUGGUGUUAGUAUCUUGUUUGGGCCGAAAAAGGCUCAUUGAAAUAUCAUGAGAUCGUACAAAAAAAAGCUUGAGACUGGUUUCAAGAAAGACGAAAUAGAUAGAUAGAUACCAAAAUGAUAAAUUAAGAUUUAUUAAAAAUGAUAAAUGUAACACCCAUAAAAAUCAUGCCAAAUUUAAACUUUUAAAAACAUUUCAAAACCAUUAAUCAUUACAAAACUUGUUUUCAAAAUAGUAUAAUAUCAGAGUAUCCCAGAAACAAAGUCAUAAACAUGAGGAGCUGUAUGAUCACGCCUUUGCCUUCCCGCGAUCAUCUGAUGAACCUGAAACAAAAUUGAAACUGUAAGCCCAAAGCUUAGUGAGUUCCCCAAAAAUACUGAUACAUAACAAGCAGUACAUAUAAUAACAACGUGUAAUGGGUCCACCACUCUACAGACUGGAUUACCCCCUAGGCCCACAGUGUGAGUCUGGCUUGCCUUCCGAGCCCACAGCUUACAUCUGGCUUGCCUCCGAGCCCAUAGCAUAAGUUUGGUUUGCUUUCGAGCCCACGACUUAUGACUGGUUUGCCCCCCUUCAAUCCUAAGACUAAAAUAUAACUGAUUAGCCCUCAGUGCGAGUCUGGCAUGCUCCCCUGGCCCUCAGCUCGCAACUGGAAUGCUCCAAUACACUCAAGCCCUCAGUACGAGUCUACCACUUAGUCCUCAGCUCGUAUCUGGUAUGCUAAUGAUUCCUCAGUAUGUGUCUCGUAUGCCUUCUCGUCCCUCAGCUCAUAUCUGGCAUACUCCAGGGUUUGUUGGUCACCGCACGAAGCAGUGCAACCUCAACCCUACCCAAACAACAUGUCUACAUAUACAACUAAUUGCACAUACAGAUAAUCAAACAGUAACACAGGUAGUUCUACAUAUCUACCUAACUGGCAUAGCAAACUAGCAUGUAUAACUAUCUCAUACUCAACACAUCAUCAACUACUGGAAUAUCAAAUCCAACGGGUCGGCCUUGGUACCUUAGACCCCUUAGUAUAGUGAGGAUAACUCACCUCUCAACUUUCGAAUCGAAGUGAUAAACUCAAACUCUCGAACCACGGCCACGAACUCCACCACAUAUAUUUACCAUAAGACCAUUUCCAUAAAUUUCCAAUUUACCAAAAUACCGCAAAAGUCAACUAGUCAACCCUUGGUCAAAGUCCCAGUCAAUGGUCAAGGUCAACAGUCCAUGUUGACCCGACUCGUCGAGUGCAGUUCACCGACUUGUCGAGUCCUUCCUGAACUCGAGAAGUCGUGAAAUCCCUCGUUGACUCGUCGAGCUUCACUGCAACUCGCCGAGUUCAUGCAUGUUCAAAAGUCGGGAAAACCCUAGCUGACUCGCCAAGUCCAUGCAGAAAUCCUUACACGACAAUCUUCAUCGGACUCGACGAGUUGGCCAUGAAACUCGUCGAGUCCUUUCUCCAUCCAGACGAUUUUUAAGCCACUUUAAAGCUCCAUAAUGCAGAUCCAAGCUCCUAAGGCAUACUUCUUACGUAAAGUUGUAAACUUUACAUACAUGCAAGGUGAUAAUGGCCCAAAUCAAGCUAAAGAAAGGUUCUAAGGGAUGAAGAAGGUAUUAACUCACUAAAGGCUGAAACUUUAUGAUAUUGCAGACCAAGAUAAGCCUAGAUCUGAAGUUGCAACUUUAGAUCACGCCUAAUACCCAAAAUAACAUAUCAACAUGGCCAAAGUGGCCUUAAUCUCAUACAUGCAUAGAUCUAGAUAGAAAAAGGUCAAGGUAAUAAAUCGUUACCUUAAAAACGAUGCUAAGAUGAAGAAGAAAUCGGAUCUACAGCCUUCCUCUUGUUCCAAGCUUGAGUACUUUAAGAUCUCCCUUCCACAAUCCACCACAAGGCUUAAUAUCACACAACAAGAGAGAAAAACGACGAUUUAGGGUUUCUGGACUCACAAGGGGCUGUGAGUGGGGCUAAGGGAGGCUAAUGACCCUUUAAAUAGAGUGUAAAACCCCGAAAAUUAGAGUUUCAUCCUCCAGCUCCAACUCGUCAAGUCGCUCCUCCGAGUCAGUGAGUUGGCCACUUAAACACAGGGCCGAAAACGUUCCUACUCGACGAGUCAGGGCAUCCAACUCGUCGAGUAAACCUUCCAAUAUGAAAAUAAAGUUGUAAAAUUAAUACAUGAGGGUCAGGGUGUUACAAUAAAAUUUAAUUUUAAUUGAAAAAAAAUGAAAGACAUAGUUUGAUUAAAAAUUAUGUAGUUAACGAAAAAAUAAUUUGUCAAGGAUGACUAUCUUUGACCGUUCAAAAAUGACGAAAAAUAUGCAUAAGUUUAAAAUUGCUGAAAAAAUAACAAUAACAACUCUUUUUUGGGCAUUCUAUUUCAACCAAUACUAAUUCAAUUAAGAUGGUUCCAAAGUCUAACCAACACAAAUGAGAACAUACAUAGAAAAUUCAGUUCAUCCUGAACUCGGAUGAGAGAGAGAGAGAGAGAGAGAGAGAGAGAGAGAGAGAGAGAGAGCAUUGUACACAUUAUCAAAUUUCCCCUAACUCAACAGUAACGAAACCAAAAGUACUGAGAAUACCAUUCGUUAGAAAAGAUGAUACUUGUAUAUAUAUAACUAGAAAUUAAUAUUCAAUAACUUCAAAAAAUAAUUAUAAAAAUGCAAACANUUGUUUCUUAUGAAUAGUGAACUUCCAUAAUUUUUGUCUAUUUUAGUCACUGGACUUUAUGUUGUUUUUUUGGCAGAAUUGGUCCCUGUACUUUGGCAACUUUGGUCCUCAUUUUUUAGCCAUUUUGACACUUUUGGUCAUUGUAAUCAAUAUUUUUAUAUUUUUUAGGAACCUUUUAAUAUUUAAAGUUUGGCCACAAAAUUUUAACGGUUUGACAACUUUGAUCCCUUUUCUAUUUAGGAACCUUUUAAUAUUAAAAGUUUGGCCACAAAACUUUAACGAUUUGACAACUUUGGUCCUCAUUUUUUAGCCAUUUUAACACUUUUGGUUCUUGUAAUCGAUAUUUUUACAUUUUUAGGAACCUUUUAAUAUUUAAAGUUUGGCCACAAAACUUUAACGGUUUGACAACUUUGAUCCCUAUUUUAUUUAGGAAUCUUUUAAUAUUUAAAGUUUGGCCACAAAAAUUUAACGGUUUGACAACUUUGGUCCUCAUUUUUUAGCCAUUUUGACACUUUUGGUCCUUAUAAUCGAUAUUUUUACGUUUUUAGGAACCUUUUAAUAUUUAAAGUUUGGCCACAAAACUUUAAUGGUUUGACAACUUUGAUCCCUUUUCUAUUUAGGAACCUUUUAAUAUUUAAAGUCUGGCCACAAAACUUUAACGGUUCGACAACUUUGAUCUCUUUUCUAAAAACUUGUUAAUUCCUACCGCUUUAAUUGUUUAGCCAUUUUCACACUUCUGGUCCUUGCAGUCAAAACUUUUAUAUUUUUUCAUAAAAACAUGAACAAGACGGUCUGGGGCAAAGCCCGAGCUUGUCAUCCUUGCACUUUCUACGUCUGUCAUAUUUAUCGAUUCGAAAACAACAUUGAAAGCUUCUGGCCCCCGCGUAGCGGGGGUAACCUUUCUAGUUAUUAUUAUUAUUAUUAUUUUAAAUCGUUUUGAACAAUGUUGUUUUUAGAAUUUUUAGAAGUUGAGUCAUGGUUGUUGAUAAAAUCAAUAUCUAAUUGAGUUAGAUCAAGCCUCUACCCAUUAAAAAGUGUAUCUUGGUUAUUAGACCGAAUAAAAAACUUUAAAUUGUGACAUCAAACAAUCUGAAUAUGAUCAAAAACUUCAAAUUGUGAUAUCAAACAAUAAACAAUCUGAAUAUGAUCCGAAUAUGAUCCAACAUCUAAUCAAACCCAAUAGAAAACAUAUCAAUAAGUCUAAUAUGACUUUAAAUCUGAUAUGAAUUUGACCCAACAUCUAAUUAGAUCUAAUAAAAAACAUAUCAAUCAUUAAUUAAACUUAUAGGAGUCAUAUCAGUUAGUCUUUUUAACUAUAAAUCUUACAUGAGUUCAUCACUCUAUACACUUUGAUAUACUUUUUGUUAGUUGUAUCUUGAUACAGAUUUUUUUUUUUUGUAUUAUUGGAAAGUAAAGUUUACAUAUGUUAUUUUCUUGAAAUAGGAAAAUAAUUUACCAUAUUUUAAAGUUAAAUAAAUAACAAUGUAUAUUUUGCUUAUUAAACACAAAAAUAAUUGACUAUUUAAUUAUUGCAAUAUAAGAAAAAAAAAAUCCAAACACUACAUUUUGCAGACUAAUUUAUGAAGCUUAAAUAUGUAAUUCUUAUUAUUUUAUUAAAAAUUAAAAAAAUUUCAACAUUUACAAAUCCACAUGCCGGAGAUAACCGAGUUCACCACCGUGUGGAGGUUUGAAUAAAAGUCAAAGUCGAUUCAUCUGGAACCAUCUACUCUUUCUUACGUCAGCAUUUACGUAUCCAUACUUCUCCCUUCAUCAAGCCACAUACUUCUUCCUCCUUCCACCAUAUUCACACACAUAAAUACAAAAACACAUCGUAAAUUUAGCAAUCUACGAUUUUCCUUACAAUUCGCAGUUUUCAUCGUGAUUGGUACACCCAUUAGAGGUAAAUUCUCUCGAAUUUUCAAUCUGAGCUCGAUCUUUUUCAGUUUGAUUUAUCUGUCUUGAAGAAAACAUGAUUCUUACGCCUUCCAUAGAUAUACAUAUGUCUCCUUUUAAGAUUUUGAUCAAUUUAGAUACAUGGGUAUCCUUUCUAAGUAAUUUAUCCAAAAUCUUUUCUUUUCCUCGCGUUUUUCGUCUUAUAUAUGGUCGAAUUCGGUUUUUUCCUUCUUAUUACCCCUUGAAUUGCUUCCGAAUUUUAUAAUCCUGUUGAUUAAUGCUCUGGGUACUGUGUGGUUUGAUGCUUUUACGAUGAUCGAAGCCUUAGUUUUGUAGUCGAUCAAUAUAUGAAGUUGAGAUUGAAUAUUAGUCUCUUUCAAUGCAAUUUCAAGCCCUAAGAUAUAAUUUUGACAUGGAUAAAACGUCGAGAUCAAUGAAGAUGCUACUUAGUAAUAGCCACCUACUUCUUGUUGGUAAUUUAGGGUUCCGAUUCAAGUUUCUGGUUAGUCAUAGUAAUACUCACCUACUUCUUUCAGGAACUAAAAAUGGAGCGCGAAAGAAAUACCAAUGAUAUAUCGGUUACAUGGAGGGGGAAGAAUUAUGUCGCGACUAUGAAUUUAGAUGCCACUCUCGAAGAAUUAGGGCACGAAUUACAGAAAUUGACAGCAGUGAAACCAGAUACUUUGAAGCUCAUUGUUCAAUCCCAUAAAUCAUCAAAACUGUUAUCCCCAUUUUCCGAUCAACACUCUCACCUCACUUUACAAGAAACAUCCAUUCUUGAGGUGCCAAAUCUUUCUAUUGUGUAUUCUCCUAAUACUAAAACAAAAUGUACAUACCCUUGUUCUUAAUCACCUACUUUAUACUUAUAGGGCAAACCUAUACGGAUGAUGGGAGUGCCAAAAGAAGAGAUCGAUCAAGUUCUAGAAAGUUCUAGAACAGACAUGAGGAUAGCUGGAUUUGAUGAAGAAGAGAAGCGAAUGAGGCAAAGAAUGUCAAACGGGUUUGAUUCCCCAUUGAAGCUUCCUCAAGGAAGUUAUAUUUUUGGUGAUUUUAAAACACUUGAUCUUCCAGGAAUCAAGGUAUUUAAUGAUUUAUGCAUUCAUUUCAUCAUAUACUUUCAUCUAGUUUUAAUCAAAAUUGACAUGAUUAUAUCAAUUAUUACAUAUGUUUUAUAGCUAAAUCCUCCACCUUCAGAAGCACUCAGACUAAUGCACACACUUGCUGCAGAUCGAGGAAUUGUAGCUGUCAUGAAUAAGGUAUUGUAUAGUUUUAUAUUUUUAUAAACACUUUUUAUAAUCUAUAAUCUUAUAUCUUAUUUGUUUAUUAAAAAAAAAGCAUAAAUGGCGUGUGGGAAUCAUGACUGAAAUGGCUCCAGAGGGUUAUGUUGGUGUAAGCCCAGUAUGCAUCCUUGGUCUUAACAAGGUAAAACUCACCACCAAUUUUAUAAAAAAAAAACAAAAUAUAAAAAUCAGUUUCUUACUUUUUUUUUUUUAUCUUUAUUACUUUUUUCUUCAGAAUAAAGGUGAGGAGAUAUCUUUGCGCCUUAGAACUGAUGACCUGAAGGGAUUCAGAAAAUACCAAAGCAUUAAAAAGACUCUUUUACAUGAACUUGUAAGCAUCUUUAUCAAUUCAAGCUUCCAUUUUUUAUAAAAGGGUGCUUUCUUUUUUACUAAAAAACUCUUCUUUCUUUCAGGCUCAUAUGGUUUUCUCUGAACAUGAUGCUAAAUUCUAUGCUCUUGAUAAACAGGUAACAACAAAAAAAAAAAAUCAAACUUUGAAUCAAAAUUCAAAACCCUUUUUGCUAAUCUUGUUUCACUAUGAACAGCUCAACCUUGAGGCCAAUUCUCUAGACUGGACAAGAUCCACGGGUCACACCUUAAGUGGGUCCCACACAAAUCAACAAUAUGAACCAAAUUUCCAUGUUGAAAAUCAUAAAUUUUCCCAUAAACUUGGAGGAAACUCAUCAAACAGUUCAUUAGCAAGUGCUCGAGCAUCAUCAGUUGCUGCUGCUUAUAAUCGUUUAGUAAUCACAUCCAUCAAUCCAUCUGAAUCCCAUCAAGAACCAGAUCCUGAUGAUUCUAUGGAACUUAUUGAGCAAAAUUACGAACCUGACCCUGAUGCUUCUAUUGAUAUCAUUGAACAAAAUUAUGAACCUGACCCUGAUGCUUCUAUUGAUAUCAUUGAACAAAAUUACGAACCUGACCCUGAUGCUUCUAUUGCUAUCAUUGAACAAAAUUACGAACCUGACCCUGAUGAAAAUGAAGUGGUUCAAAAACAAGAACCUGAUCCAGAUGAUAGUGUAAAUGAACCUAUGGAGUCUGAAAUCAGAAUUACUUGUGAAAAAAUUGAGGGGAAUUUUAAUUUUGUUUCUGAAAAUGAAAUGAAGAUGGAAAGCAAUGAAUUUGAGCCAGAUCCUGAUGAUGAAGAGCUUCAAAGAAUUCAAGAUCCUGUAAUGGUGGCAUGUAAUCGAUUGAAAAAGUCGAUUCAG
This 40010-nucleotide long non-coding RNA is filed under the name Lactuca sativa (garden lettuce). RNAcentral describes it as "long non-coding RNA (LSAT_LNC007600)". The record is from RNAcentral. Lineage: Eukaryota; Viridiplantae; Streptophyta; Magnoliopsida; Asterales; Asteraceae.